Molecule: ribosomal RNA, 253 nt
Filed under: uncultured bacterium
Lineage: Bacteria
Description: partial 16S ribosomal RNA
Rfam family: Bacterial small subunit ribosomal RNA
Source: RNAcentral
UACGAAGGGGGCUAGCGUUGUUCGGAAUCACUGGGCGUAAAGGGCGCGUAGGCGGUCUGCUAAGUUGGAUGUGAAAACUCUGGGCUUAACCCAGAGCCUGCAUUCAAUACUGACAGGCUAGAGUUCUGGAGGGGAUAGCGGAAUUCCUGGUGUAGCGGUGAAAUGCGUAGAUAUCGAGAGGAACACCUGCGGCGAAGGCGGGUAGCUGGGCCGACACUGACGCUGAUGCGCGAAAGCCAGGGGAGCGAACGGG